RNAcentral lists this ribosomal RNA (468 nucleotides) under uncultured bacterium. RNAcentral describes it as "partial 16S ribosomal RNA". It matches the Rfam family "Bacterial small subunit ribosomal RNA", at positions 28 to 507 of the family's 1533-position model. The record is from RNAcentral.
GACGAACGCUGGCGGCGUGCUUAACACAUGCAAGUCGAACGGAAAGGCCCUGCUUUUGUGGGGUGCUCGAGUGGCGAACGGGUGAGUAACACGUGAGUAACCUGCCCUUGACUUUGGGAUAACUUCAGGAAACUGGGGCUAAUACCGGAUAGGAGCUCCUGCUGCAUGGUGGGGGUUGGAAAGUUUCGCCGGUUGGGGAUGUACUCGCGGCUUAUCAGAUUGUUGGUGGGGUAGUGGCUUACCAAGGCUUGGACGGGUAGCCGGCCUGAGAGGGUGACCGGACCAAUUGGGCUUGAGAUACGGCACAGACUAGUACGGGAGGGAGGAGAGGGGAAUAGUGUACAAGGGGAGGAAGCAUGGUGCAGCAACGCAGCGUGGGGGAUGACGUCCAUCGGGUUGUAAACCGCUGUCGCCUGUGACGAAGUGUGAGUGACGGUAACGGGUAAAGAAGCACCGGCUAACUACGUG